RNAcentral lists this ribosomal RNA (449 nucleotides) under uncultured bacterium. RNAcentral describes it as "partial 16S ribosomal RNA". It matches the Rfam family "Bacterial small subunit ribosomal RNA", at positions 330 to 795 of the family's 1533-position model. The record is from RNAcentral.
UCCAGACUCCUACGGGAGGCAGCAGUGGGGGAUAUUGCACAAUGGGGGGAACCCUGAUGCAGCGACGCCGCGUGGGUGAAGGAGCGUUUCGGCGCGUAAAGCCCUAUCGGCAGGGAAGAAGGAGGACGGUACCUGACUAAGAAGCCCCGGCUAACUACGUGCCAGCAGCCGCGGUAAUACGUAGGGGGCAAGCGUUAUCCGGAUUUACUGGGUGUAAAGGGGGCGCAGACGGCAGCGCAAGCCAGGAGUGAAAGCCCGGGGCCCAACCCCGGGACUGCUCUUGGAACUGCGCGGCUGGAGUGCAGGAGGGGCAGGCGGAAUUCCUGGUGUAGCGGUGAAAUGCGUAGAUAUCAGGAGGAACACCGGUGGCGAAGGCGGCCUGCUGGACUGCGACUGACGUUGAGGCCCGAAAGCGUGGGGAGCAAACAGGAUUAGAUACCCCAGUACCU